CAAANNNNNNNGACGAACGCUGGCGGCGUGCCUAAUACAUGCAAGUCGAGCGAGCUGAAUUCAAAGGACUCUUCGGGGUGAUNNGUCGGGGACGGGUGAGUAACNCGUGGGCAAUCUGCCCUAAAGACUGGGAUACCACUUGGAAACAGGUGCUAAUACCGGAUAACAACAUAAUCGCANGAUUCAAGUUUGAAAGGCGGCGCAAGCUGUCACUUUAGGAUGAGCCCGCGGCGCAUUAGCUAGUUGGUGGGGUAAAGGCCUCCCNAGGCAAUGAUGCGUAGCCGAGUUGAGAGACUGAUCGGCCACAUUGGGACUGAGACACGGCCCAAACUCCUACGGGAGGCAGCAGUAGGGAAUCUUCCACAAUGGACGCAAGUCUGAUGGAGCNACGCCGCGUGAGUGAAGAAGGUCUUCGGAUCGUAAAGCUCUGUUGUUGGUGAAGAAGGAUAGAGGCAGUAACUAGUCUUUAUUUGACGGUAAUCAACCAGAAAGUCAGACGUCAAGUCAUCAUGCCCCUUAUGACCUGGGCUACACACGUGCUACAAUGGGCAGUACAACGAGAAGCAAACCCGCGAGGGUAAGCGGAUCUCNNAAAGCUGCUCUCAGUUCGACCGUGGAACUGCAUCGGAAACUGUCAUUCUUGAGUGCAG
RNAcentral lists this ribosomal RNA (650 nucleotides) under Lactobacillus delbrueckii. RNAcentral describes it as "partial 16S ribosomal RNA". It matches the Rfam family "Bacterial small subunit ribosomal RNA", at positions 1 to 1347 of the family's 1533-position model. Lineage: Bacteria; Bacillati; Bacillota; Bacilli; Lactobacillales; Lactobacillaceae. The record is from RNAcentral.